This 218-nucleotide ribosomal RNA is filed under the name uncultured bacterium. RNAcentral describes it as "partial 16S ribosomal RNA". It matches the Rfam family "Bacterial small subunit ribosomal RNA", at positions 328 to 539 of the family's 1533-position model. The record is from RNAcentral.
ACGCUCGACACCUACGAGAGGCAGCAGUGAGGAAUAUUGGUCAAUGGGCGCUAGCCUGAACCAGCCAAGUAGCGUGAAGGAUGAAGGCUCUAUGGGUCGUAAACUUCUUUUAUAUAAGAAUAAAGUGCAGUAUGUAUACUGUUUUGUAUGUAUUAUAUGAAUAAGGAUCGGCUAACUCCGUGCCAGCAGCCGCGGUAAUCUGAGCGGGCUGGCAAGGC